CCUACGGGAGGCAGCAGUGAGGAAUAUUGGUCAAUGGGCUUACGCCUGAACCAGCCAAGUCGCGUGAGGGAAGACUGUCCUAUGGGUUGUAAACCUCUUUUGUCAGGGAGCAACGCCGGCUACGUGUAGCCGGACUGAGAGUACCUGAAGAAAAAGCAUCGGCUAACUCCGUGCCAGCAGCCGCGGUAAUACGGAGGAUGCGAGCGUUAUCCGGAUUUAUUGGGUUUAAAGGGUGCGUAGGCGGAAUGCCAAGUCAGCGGUAAAAUCGCGGGGCUCAACCUCGCUCCGCCGUUGAAACUGGCGUUCUUGAGUGAGCGAGAAGUAUGCGGAAUGCGUGGUGUAGCGGUGAAAUGCAUAGAUAUCACGCAGAACUCCGAUUGCGAAGGCAGCAUACCGGCGCCCAACUGACGCUGAAGCACGAAAGCGUGGGGAUCGAACAGGAUUAGAUACCCCAGUAGUC
This 460-nucleotide ribosomal RNA is filed under the name uncultured bacterium. Its description in RNAcentral is "partial 16S ribosomal RNA". It matches the Rfam family "Bacterial small subunit ribosomal RNA", at positions 338 to 795 of the family's 1533-position model. The record is from RNAcentral.